GUGCGGCGAGGCGAGAGCGCAGUCCCCGGCCGGGGUGGGGGGGUGUCUGGCGGGGCGGCGGUGGCUCCGGGCACCACCCUCUGGGGUCGCGGCCUCGGCCGUGGGAAGAGGCUGCCUCUUGGACCCGCGGGAGAGCCCCAGGGAAGGCGCGUGACCCCGAGGUAGCCAGAAUUCCGGCUUAAACACCCUCGGACAGGGAAAGAGGAAGGAGAGGAGUGCUUUUCAAGGAAGAUGAAGGGGCCCGAAGAAGCCGAGCGGGCGGGAUGACAGUGUGACACCGGUGUGUUGUCACUUCUAGUCUCUCCGGGGAUGAGUCCGCCUUCCCUGGACGGUUAGUGGUUUGUGUAUGGAAAUCACCAGGAAAUGAGAAAUGACUGAAGCCCAGUCCCUCCCAGAGACUCUGGCCUAAUAGUCUGGGCUGCGGCACAGGCGCCCCAGGUGUUCUGUGGGGUGGGCAAAGUUGAGGACCUGCUUGGGGUCAGAUAGUCUUGUCUCCCUGUUAGGGUCCACUAGCCCCGAGUGUUUGGAGGAGUGAGAGCUGAGGUUCGCUGCCCUGUUCUUUGCACCUGUUUUCAUUAACUCCUCACCCAGCGGGGUUUUCACUUGUUUUAUUGUGCUUUGAAAUUUCUGAACGUUGUAUACUCCUCACCCAGCGGGGUUUUCACUUGUUUUAUUGUGCUUUGAAAUUUCUGAACGUUGUAUGAAGCGUGAGAGACAUCCCAAAGAAAAGUGUGCACACAGCAUGAGUGAAUUUUGUCCAGAGUGAACACAUCUGUGUAGCCAUCAUGCCCAACAAGAAACAGGUGGUCACCAAUCCCUUGUCCUGUGGCUGUUUCCCCAGGAGGCCAUGCUGGGGAUGAGAGGCCAGGAGAAGGCUCAGUGGGAUUUCCAGGUUGCCAGGCGGGGGGGCUCCCCCCCCAGCUGCCCCCAGCCUCCAGGCCCCCCUCUCCCUGAGAUGAAGAGAUGGGGGUUGCCUGGGUGAACUGCUCUCUCCACUUGGCGCAGGGGGUGUGGACCAGGAGCUGGUCUCCUCAGCACCUUCCCCAGAGCUCUAUUCCAGGGGGCAGGUGGGGGCAGAUACAAGCUGUCCCCACUCCCCCGCCCCGUGCAGAGGCACAGAGCACAGAGUUCAUGUCUGGGGGCACUGCCUUCUGGUGCUGAGGGCUUGGGUGCUGAGCCACCUUCCUGGUAUAUGAGGUGGGGGCCUACGACGUCCUCUGAGGAUUCCAGCACCUAUGCCAGGCCGCGGGGCGCUCCACUGAAUUGCUUUCUUCUGCCCUGCAGCAGCAGCUUGUGGGGUCACCCCCCAAGCCCUGACUGCAGCCUCCCUCUCCAGCAACCCCACCCAAAAUUCCAGAUCCGAGGGGCUGGGGCUGGGGUGGCAGCAGCAGGGGAGGGGUAGGUGGAGGCCCCAAGGCUGACACAGUUUGCCACCAGCUGCCAUUGCUCCGGCAGCUUUUCAGAACUGAUCUCGUUUUUAGAGCAAGUGAGCCCUGGCACAAAUAACCACCUAACUGAAGGGAACACGCCGAAGCCCUCUGGGUGUGUGGGAUCCAAGAGAUGGAAUCACAUUCUUCCUUUUGAAAGGGAGCUCUCCUCCCACACUCUCCGGGGAACACUCCCAGCCUGUGUACAUGCACACGCCAUCUACCGAAGAGAAGACAUUUACAGGCACCUCUGCUGUUUCAAUGGUAAGGCCCUUAAGUGUUACAUUAAUACGUUUCUAUGGAAAGGAAAAAACUUCAAAACAGAAGGAAUUAUAACCAUCAAAGUCAGCACACGCUUAAAACCACUCUACAAAUCAAGAGAAAAUACUGCAUUUUUACUUAUUUGAAAAGCAAAAUAGCCACACUGGCUGAUAAAAAUACCCUCUCACAGAGGAAAAAACCACAUGAAGAGACUACAAACCUCUGAUGGGCACCGUGAGAGCACUCAGGAAACAUCGCAUUUUAUCCCACGGAUAAAACCGAUCAAUAGGCCUCUCUAAUCUACAUGCUGCUUAAAAAAGGCUUUAGGAUCUUCAGCAAAGCCCAUUUUGAUAAAUAGCUUAUUUAAGGAACUAAAUUCUCUCCUGGCAACUCAGUGCCCACUACCCCUCUCUCAGCAAAAUCCAGCACUCCUGAGGUGUCAGGACUGAGCCACACCUGCGUGUUUACUUUUUAAUUAUAAUCUUAAAGUAAAAGUGACACAACA
Non-coding RNA from Sus scrofa (pig), 2193 nucleotides. Lineage: Eukaryota; Metazoa; Chordata; Mammalia; Artiodactyla; Suidae. The record is from RefSeq and is a predicted model, not a curated record.